ACAUUCAUGGAAAGGAGAUACGGUUGGCAUCUCCCCUGACAAGGACAGGAACAGCCUUUGGGCUAACCUGUUACCAACACAUGCUUUUAAGGCUACCAACUUCAGCAGAUCUUACCCAAUUUUUU
Malania oleifera is the source of this 125-nucleotide small nuclear RNA. Lineage: Eukaryota; Viridiplantae; Streptophyta; Magnoliopsida; Santalales; Ximeniaceae. The record is from RefSeq and is a predicted model, not a curated record.